AUUGAGCGCUGGCGGCAGGCUUAACACAUGCAAGUCGAGCGGGGGAAGGUAGCUUGCUACCGGACCUAGCGGCGGACGGGUGAGUAAUGCUUAGGAAUCUGCCUAUUAGUGGGGGACAACAUCUCGAAAGGGAUGCUAAUACCGCAUACGUCCUACGGGAGAAAGCAGGGGAUCUUCGGACCUUGCGCUAAUAGAUGAGCCUAAGUCGGAUUAGCUAGUUGGUGGGGUAAAGGCCUACCAAGGCGACGAUCUGUAGCGGGUCUGAGAGGAUGAGCCGCCACGCUGGGGCUGAGACACGGCCCAGACUCCUACGGGAGGCAGCAGUGGGGAAUAUUGGACAAUGGGGGGAACCCUGAUCCAGCCAUGCCGCGUGUGUGAAGAAGGCCUUAUGGUUGUAAAGCACUUUAAGCGAGGAGGAGGCUACUCUAGUUAAUACCUAGGGAUAGUGGACGUUACUCGCAGAAUAAGCACCGGCUAACUCUGUGCCAGCCGCCGCGGUAA
Molecule: ribosomal RNA, 501 nt
Filed under: uncultured bacterium
Lineage: Bacteria
Description: partial 16S ribosomal RNA
Rfam family: Bacterial small subunit ribosomal RNA
Source: RNAcentral